Molecule: small RNA, 171 nt
Filed under: Arabidopsis thaliana (thale cress)
Lineage: Eukaryota; Viridiplantae; Streptophyta; Magnoliopsida; Brassicales; Brassicaceae
Description: ATSL083280
Source: RNAcentral
AACACUAACAUCAAAUGGCAUAUGACUAAAUGGCUUCAAAAUCUGUUACUAUUGGAUCUAUUAAAAUAUGGAACAAUUCUUGGGUUCACCCUUUAGGGGGUGAAUCCAUUCAUUCACCGCCUUUUAGUUGACUAAUGAGAAUUUGACAUGUCAUCUAUUUAAAAAAUAAAU